RNAcentral lists this ribosomal RNA (1167 nucleotides) under Triticum aestivum (bread wheat). Its description in RNAcentral is "partial small subunit ribosomal RNA". The record is from RNAcentral. Lineage: Eukaryota; Viridiplantae; Streptophyta; Magnoliopsida; Poales; Poaceae.
AUGGGCAACGCGUUCGCGUGCAUGCCGCGCAAGGAGCACCGGGGCGCGGCCGCGGUGUCGCGCAGCAAGCGCAUGGGGAGCGCGCGCCCGCCGCGCGGCGGGGCGGCCAAGCUCACGCCGGCGGAGGAGGAGCUCCUGCACCGCCAGGCGCUCGCCAUGGCCAUCCACCAGCACCUCGACGCCGGAGGCUCCAUGUCGCGCCGCAUCGACGCCGGCGGCGGCUCCAUGUCCCGCCGAAUCGGCCCCGGCUCCACCAGCUCCCGGCGACACGGCAACCUCCCGGACUCCGUCACCAAUGCCAAGGCUGUCCAAAUUGUUUUAGAGAACUUAGAAACCAAGAAAGUCGUUCUUGUCCAUGGGGAGGGAUUUGGCGCUUGGUGUUGGUACAAGACCAUCUCCCUGUUGGAGGAAGCUGGUCUCGAUCCUGUUGCCUUAGACCUCACAGGCUCUGGCAUAGACCACACUGAUACAAACAGCAUAGCUACGUUGGAAGAGUACUCCAAGCCACUAAUUGAUUACCUCAGUAAACUCCCUGAGAACGAGAAGGUUGUUUUGGUCGGUCAUAGUUGUGGAGGUGCAAGCGUGUCAUAUGCCGUAGAACACUGCCCAAAGAAGAUCUCCAAGGCCGUAUUCCUUACCGCCACAAUGGUAAAGGAUAGCCAGAGGCCCUUCGACGUGUUCUCUGAAGAGCUCGCGUCGGCAGAUGUUUUCUUGCAAGAAUCACAGUAUUUACUUUACGGAAAUGGGAAGGACAAGCCUCCAACUGGGCUCAGGUUUGACAAACAGCAGAUCAAGGGGUUAUAUUUCAACCAAAGUCCUUCCAAGGAUAUCGCACUAGCCACCGUGUCCAUGAGGCCCAUCCCUUUAGCCCCGAUCAUGGAGAAGCUCUCCCUGACGGCGGAGAACUAUGGCACGGUCCGCCGCUACUUCAUCCAGACGCUGGACGACCGGAUGCUGUCGCCCGACGUCCAGGAGAAGCUGGUCCGGGAGAGCCCGCCCGACGGCAUCUUCAAGAUAAAGGGCGGCGACCACUGCCCCUUCUUCUCAAAGCCGCAGUCCCUCCACAAGAUCCUGCUCGAGAUCGUGCAGAUCCAAGCUCCGGGGGCGCUGUUCCCAGGCAAAGCAGAGACCCUAGAAGAAGAGGAGGAGAGCGCCGAGAAAUCAUGA